RNAcentral lists this long non-coding RNA (1403 nucleotides) under Mus musculus (house mouse). Its description in RNAcentral is "predicted gene, 57217". Lineage: Eukaryota; Metazoa; Chordata; Mammalia; Rodentia; Muridae. The record is from RNAcentral.
CGGAAGUCGCGCCCGUUCCCCCAAGCGCCGGCGUGGAGGAUGGUGGCGGAGGAACGGGUAAGGGAAAUUACGCCGGCACUAGACACGGGAGGGGAACAGCCAAGGCUGCUUCCGGUGGGCGAACGGGGCCUAGUGCGCAUGCGCCCAUUGCGCCCGCUUCUUCUUAGGGCACCACCCACAGGCUCCAGGCUUCCGGUUAGGACGCACCCUAGACUCGGGUCUCAAGCCAAAGCCUCGCUUCCUAGGCUGGACCACGCCCAUCUCUGAACGUCCCGUUAUAGGCCGGUCGGAUUCCUUUUUCUGCACCUCCGAUUAGUUUGUUCUAUUCUUUCUUCGCUCCAAAUCUCUACUUUUGGAACUCCAGCCUCUCAGACGGGUCACACCUACAAGCCACGCCCCCUUCUAAAUCCUGCCCCUUACACAAAAAAGCUUUGUACAGCCUGUUGCAUAUAAGGGACAUCGGUUUUCUUUUGUGUUGUUGUUGUUUUAAACCUUUUGAUUUAUUUCUUCUUUUGAGACAGAGCCUCCUCACACUGUGGUCAGGGUGGCCUUGAACUCCUUUUUUUUUUUUUUUUUUUUUUUUUUUGGUUUUUCGAGACAGGGUUUCUCUGUAUAGCCCUGGCUGUCCUGGAACUCACUUUGUAGACCAGACUGGUCUCGAACUCAGAAAUCCGCCUGCCAUUGGAUACCAAGUGCUGGGAUUAAAGGCGUGCGCCACCACGCCGGGCUUCAGGGUGGCCUUGAACUCUUGUAUAGGCUAUAAUGGCUUCAAACUUGCAGCAAUACUACCAGAGCCUUCAGGAAUUCUGGGAUUAUAGUGAUGACUCUUUAAUGACUUGUAUGUAGUCCUGCCUCGCACCUUGAAAGCAUUCCUUUAAAGUUAGUUGUUAGCAACCAUUGGCAUCAAUUAGCUCAAUGCUCUUUAACUCUUAACCCAGACUUACUGAAUAUAAAGCGUUGGGAUGGAUCUUAGGAAUCCAUUUGAAUUGAAACACUUCUGAUGCACUCUUAGAUGAGAACCACAGCUUUGGCACACUUUACACUUAGCCACUCAGAGCUCUAUAAAUCUUUCUUAAUUCAGCCCCAUUACACUACAGACAGCUAAGCCUAAUUCUAUGCAUCCAAGCUCUCCCUUGUUGUUUUUCUUCCCUCUCCAUGGCCUGAAUGGCAGUCACGUCUAACAGUUAAGCCUUGGCCUCUUUUUUUUCUUUUUGUUUUGUUUUUGUUUGUUUGUUUGUUUUUUCGAGACAGGGUUUCUCUGUGUAGCCCUGGCUGUCCUGGAACUCACUCUGUAGAUCAGGCUGGCCUGGAACUCAAAAAUCCGCCUAUCUCUGCCUCCCAAGUGCUGGGAUUGAAGGCUCAGCUUCGCAAGCCUCUAUUAAAAGAUCUCUUAACAACAACAA